RNAcentral lists this ribosomal RNA (420 nucleotides) under bacterium. RNAcentral's name for it is "partial 16S ribosomal RNA". It matches the Rfam family "Bacterial small subunit ribosomal RNA", at positions 355 to 776 of the family's 1533-position model. The record is from RNAcentral.
UGGGGGAUAUUGCACAAUGGGCGAAAGCCUGAUGCAGCGACGCCGCGUGGGGGAUGAAGGCUUUCGGGUUGUAAACCUCUUUCGCUAUCGAACAAGGCCCGCUUAGGGUGGGUUGAGGGUAGGUGGAGAAGAAGCGCCGGCUAACUACGUGCCAGCAGCCGCGGUAAUACGUAGGGCGCGAGCGUUGUCCGGAAUUAUUGGGCGUAAAGGGCUUGUAGGCGGCUUGUUGCGCCUGCUGUGAAAACGCGGGGCUUAACUUCGCGCGUGCAGUGGGUAACGGCAGGCUUGAGUGUGGUAGGGGUGACUGGAAUUCCAGGUGUAGCGGUGGAAUGCGCAGAUAUCCGGAGGAACACCGAUGGCGAAGGCAGGUCACUGGGCCAUUACUGACGCUGAGGAGCGAAAGCAUGGGUAGCGAACAGG